RNAcentral lists this long non-coding RNA (2551 nucleotides) under Mus musculus (house mouse). RNAcentral's name for it is "long non-coding RNA chr18:67951973-67954524". The record is from RNAcentral. Lineage: Eukaryota; Metazoa; Chordata; Mammalia; Rodentia; Muridae.
AGACACAAAAAUUAUUCUCACUUCAAGCCGAUCCUUUUGACCUCUCUCCUGUCCAUCAUUGUCCCAUGGAGUCCCUGUGUGUUUUCUAAUGUCCCCUUGUCUUCUCCCCACUGUCCUUUGGUUUCUCACUGUCUCAUUUUGAUCACUGGCAAUUCCACCUGCCCAGUGAUUCAGGCUUCACAUUUGACAUCUCUAAUCCCCUGCAGUUCAGUCUUUGAAUAAAUCCAAUUUUCACAGCAUACACCCUGUGUGUGCUCCACCAGGGAGCCUGGCUGCCUCCCUUCAAAGUUCCUUACAAGUAGUUCCUAUCCCAGGCCUCUGUGGUUUCCCUGCCUGAAACCUUGAUGUAUCCAUAUUCCUGGCCUUCAGACAGGUGUCCUACCUUGGCAAGGUGGCCUCUCUACCGUGCUUUUUCCUGUCUAUGGCAUCCUGUGAUGGAAUGCUGGAGGUUACCUCUUCCUAGAAAACCCUUGAGAGCAGACAGAUCACUGCCCUGUCUGUUGUCCAGCAGUAAUUCAGUAUUGCUAGUUACAUGGACAAGAGAGAGCAUGGGAGUUAGGAGCCCUUGCUUGGUAGGAGCACAGAGAAGGUCCUCAAGACUCCCAGGGCUUGGUGAAGCUCUGGUGCUGAGGUAGAGCCCUUCAUGGACUCCUGUCUGUCUUUUGAUGCCUAGGUGGCUGCCAGGGGUGAGUACACGGCUGUCUCACCUCUGUCACUGUGGGGUAGGUCAGGCCUCAAUGCAAACAGUAAGUUCUAAUGGAAGGGGUAAAGUACAGCUGCAGAGGUGACAGCGACAGACUUGGGGACAUGCCAUUCAAUGCUCUCACCCCUGCUUCCUAGGGCUAGGUUUAGACUUACAUUAUUUUUUCCAUCUGGGGUUGGAAUUGAACUUGGGACUUCAUCCACGCUAAGAAGCCCCUUCCACUGAGCUCCACUCCCAACCCCUACAUUUAAUUCUUAUUUUCCACUUUCCUCCUCAAAGUAAACUUUUUUCUAGAGAUCAGAAGAAGCAACUCUUUUCUAGAUUGACUCUUGCCUUCCUUUUCUACUCUCUCAGACUUAAAUCUCUGUUAUCAAUUAUGGGCGAGUUGAAUAUUGUUUAUACGUUUAGAGCAAAUCCAUCAAGCCAUGAAAUAUAAUUAGAUUUAUGAAUGUUCGAGAAAUCACCUUAUGGAGGUAUUUUUUUUUCCUAUAGACAUCCUCUGUUGGCAGGAAAAGUUCAAAGUGGAGAUGGUUAAGGUGUACGAUUCUUUGUUUUUCUAUCUUUUCAAAACAGACUAAUCCUUUGACUAUUUCCUGGAUUUCUGACUCACUUUCUAAGUGCGUUGUGCUUGUGUUCUGGUAUGACAGGUGAUUUCCUGAGUGUGUUUGUUUGUUUGUUUGUUUAUUGUGUUGUGUUUGGUUUAAAAAUCAACAGAGAGACUGUGAAAGUCAACUACAUAGCAGGACAAGGGGAAGAGGGCCCGAGAAGGGUGAGUUCUAAGGAGCCUCAGGUUCGAGCCACUGACGUGUUUUCCAGCCCACGUGUACUAGACCAUAGCGCUAGCCAGGCUUCCCGAGGAGAAAAGUGACCACGGACGAGAUGAUUUCUUUGUCUGUUCACUCAGGAGACAAUCUUGCUUGGAGCAGAGAAGGUGUGAAUAAGGCUGAGCUGUCCUUACCUUUGCUAGAAUCUGGUUUGAAUUAUACCUCUUCACCCCCACUCCACACACCCAGAAGACAGACUGAGAGGAAAUAUACAUAAACACUAAAAAAUAGACGCCUGAGGCAUCAUCCUGAGUGAGGUAACCCUAUCACAAAAGAACUCACAUGCUAUGUACUCACUGAUAAGUGGAUAUUAGCCCAGAAACUUAGAAUAUCCAAGAUACAAGAUACAAUCUGCAAAACACAUGAAACUCAAGAAGAACGAAGACUAAAAUGUGGACACUUUGCCCCUUCUUAGAAUUGGGAACAAAACACCCAUGGAAGGAGUUACAGAGACAAAGUUUGGAGCUGAGACGAAAGGAUGGACCAUCUAGAGACUGCCAUACCUGGGGAUCCAUCCCAUAAUCAGCCUCCAAACGCUGACACCAUUGCAUACACUAGCAAGAUUUUGCUGAAAGGACUCUGAUAUAGCUGUCUCUUGUGAGGCUAUGCCGGGGCCUAGCAAACACAGAAGUGGAUGCUCACAGUCAGCUAUUGGAUGGAACACAGGGCCCCCAAUGGAGGAGCUAGAGAAAGUACCCAAGGAGUUAAAGGGGUCUGCAACCCUAUAGGUGGAACAACAAUAUGAACUAACCAGUACCCCCCCAGAGCUCGUGUUUCUAGCUGCAUAUGUAUCAGAAGAUGGCCUAGUCGUCCAUCAUUGGAAAGAGAGGCCCCUUGGUCUUGCAAACUUUAUAUGCCUCAGUACAGGGGAAUGCCAGGGCCAAGAAGUGGGAGUGAGUGAGUAGGGGAGUGGAGGGGAGGGUAUGGGGGACUUUUGGGAUAGCAUUGGAAAUGUAAAUGAAGAAAAUACCUAAUUAAAAAAUCAUAAAAAAAAAUAAGAACCACAGACUAGGCAGUUUAGAAC